AUUGAACGCUGGCGGCAUGCUUUACACAUGCAAGUCGAACGGUAACAGGCCUUCGGGUGCUGACGAGUGGCGAACGGGUGAGUAAUGCAUCGGAACGUGCCCAGAGGUGGGGGAUAACGCAGCGAAAGCUGUGCUAAUACCGCAUGUGAUCUGAGGAUGAAAGCGGGGGACCAGGCAGCAAUGUUUGGCCUCGCGCCUUUGGAGCGGCCGAUGUCAGAUUAGGUAGUUGGUGGGGUAAAGGCCUACCAAGCCGACGAUCUGUAGCUGGUCUGAGAGGACGACCAGCCACACUGGGACUGAGACACGGCCCAGACUCCUACGGGAGGCAGCAGUGGGGAAUUUUGGACAACGGGCGCAAGCCUGAUCCAGCAAUGCCGCGUGCGGGAAGAAGGCCUUCGGGUUGUAAACCGCUUUUGUACGGAACGAAAAGGCUCUGGCUAAUACCUGGGGCUGAUGACGGUACCGUAAGAAUAAGCACCGGCUAACUACGUG
This 492-nucleotide ribosomal RNA is filed under the name uncultured bacterium. Its description in RNAcentral is "partial 16S ribosomal RNA". It matches the Rfam family "Bacterial small subunit ribosomal RNA", at positions 30 to 507 of the family's 1533-position model. The record is from RNAcentral.